This 199-nucleotide long non-coding RNA is filed under the name Elaeis guineensis (African oil palm). RNAcentral's name for it is "long non-coding RNA (EGUI_LNC021368)". The record is from RNAcentral. Lineage: Eukaryota; Viridiplantae; Streptophyta; Magnoliopsida; Arecales; Arecaceae.
GUGCACAAAGAAGCAGCUUCUACGAAAUGCCAACUGGAACAAAAUAACAAUGUGAAUGAUGGCAAGAAUCUUUUCUUCUAGUGUGUGCAAGGGAAAUAUUUUUCUAGUAGUAAUCCACAGUGUCCGGUGUUACAGUGAAAUGGUCUUCUGCAUACGAUUCUGCUGCUGAAUUGGUAUGCAUUAUUCCAACAGCCACUUC